AGACACACCCAGCCAUCGUGUGUUUGGAGUCCUUACCUAUAGAGGGACUGCUUUCUCAAUAUUUUAGUCCCAGUAAUGUGAAAAGUGUUAGUUGUUCAGUCGUGUCCAACUCUGACUCUUUGCCAUCCUAUGAACCAUGUAGCCCACCAGCUUCCUCUGUCCAUGGGAUUCUCCAGGCAAGAAUACUGGAGUGAGGAAUGGCUGCCCACUCCAGUAUUCUGGCCUGGAGAGCUCCAUGGACUGAGUAGUCCAUGCAGUCGCAAAGAGUCAGACACGACUGAGCGACUUUCACUUUCACAGCUUUGUCACAGAUUUUCUUCCAGGGAACAAGCGUCUUUUAAUUUCGUGGCUGCAGUUCACUCUAGAUAGAUUCGUGAACAAAACAAUGAACUUGCUCUUCAUGGAACUCAGACUCUGGUGAAGGAGGAUUAUUGGAUGUGGACUGUGUGUGUUGUUCUCCUCACCUGACGGGUUGACCCCGCUCAUUCUGCACAGCUACCCUCUGAUGCGGGUACCAUAAUUAUCCCAUUUUACAGAUAAGAACACUGAGUGGCACAGGGGGAUUUGGAAAGCCCCUGGGGGCCAGGAAGAGGCAGAGCAGUCUUUGAACCGAGCUGGACUGGCUCUGGAAAACACCUCCUCGGGUUCCACAUUUGUGGUCUCCAGGUGGCUGCUGCUGACCUCACACACAGCCGCUGCACAAGCACGGGGUUGGGGGGAGUACCCAGACUGCAGUUAAGACAGCAUUGAAUGGCAGCUUGUUUAUCAAGAGAGAGAUUGAAAGCAUUUCCACAGAGAAGCAAACUAACAAAGUCCAAGCCCGUGGGUUUAUUUUGUUUGCAUGAUAGAGUAAGGAAAUGGCUGAAAGCUGGAAUGACCACAGGGCUGAAGCCAUGGAGAGGGAUAGACAGAAAUGUCUGACGCCCCAGGAAGACUUUCCAGCAGACAAGCUCACUGUCCCCAGGACUCACAACUUAGUGAGAGAGCAAAACAAACAAGGCUGUAUGUAAGAAACACAAGCAGCUCCUGCAGCUCAACUCCAGAAAAAUAAACGACCCAACAAAAAACGGGCCAAAGAACUAAAGAGACAUUUCUCCAAAGAAGACUUACAGGUGGCUGACAAACACAUGAAAAGAUGCUCAACAUCACUCACUAUCAGAGAAAUGCAAAUCAAAACCACCAUGAGGUACCAUUUCACACCAGUCAGAAUGGCUGC
Molecule: long non-coding RNA, 1216 nt
Organism: Bos taurus (domestic cattle)
Lineage: Eukaryota; Metazoa; Chordata; Mammalia; Artiodactyla; Bovidae
Source: Ensembl